AAUAGUGAAGUUGUCUUGGAGGAAUUGUUGGAGGACGCGACUGGUACCUUCAUGGAGAAGGGGGAAGCCUGCGCGUGUGGCUGACACAAAUGGUUGUCACCCGCCAUCUAGUGGCCAUCUGUGAAACUGUGCUUAUGCCGUGGGAAAGGCUUUUGGAACAAGCUUGGUUGCUUAGUGCCUAUCGGGCAGCCAGUGAACAUUUGUCCAUAUUUAAGGCACUAAACUGAGAGGAACCACUGAGGAAAGCAUGCCACAGUCUUUUCCAAAAUUCCUGUGUCUUAAAGAACAACCAAGAAGUAACUGGUCAGGGAAAACAUUUCUUUUGAGAAGCAGGUAAGUAACCAAGACGCCGUGGGAGACAUCCUUGCCUGCAACAGUUGUGGUAUAAAGCAAGAGAAUGAUGGGAGCUGUGAUCCGUACGUCUGUAUGCAGAACCGUCGUACCUGGGUCUCUGCCUGUCCCUGCUCCAGGAAGGUGUUGGAUCCUCCCCAGUCCGAGGAAAGAGAUCUUUAAUGGAUCUUUAACAGUUGCCAAGCUUCAGCCACUCCGGAGGAUCACCCAGUGCUCUGGAAGAAUGUCUGCCAUUUAACGAUAUCACUGAACCAAACAGCACAACUUCUCCAUCUGUCAGAAAACCAACAGGUAGGCCUCUGCCCUUUGGAAAUUCAGUGUGAACUUAUUAUUAUCACAUACUGUUUGGUAUGGUUUCCA
RNAcentral lists this long non-coding RNA (711 nucleotides) under Aotus nancymaae (Ma's night monkey). Its description in RNAcentral is "lncRNA (ENSANAG00000038843.1)". The record is from RNAcentral. Lineage: Eukaryota; Metazoa; Chordata; Mammalia; Primates; Aotidae.